RNAcentral lists this ribosomal RNA (497 nucleotides) under uncultured bacterium. Its description in RNAcentral is "partial 16S ribosomal RNA". It matches the Rfam family "Bacterial small subunit ribosomal RNA", at positions 28 to 507 of the family's 1533-position model. The record is from RNAcentral.
GAUGAACGCUGGCGGCGUGCCUAAUACAUGCAAGUCGAGCGAACGGACGAGAAGCUUGCUUUUCUGAUGUUAGCGGCGGACGGGUGAGUAACACGUGGAUAACCUACCUAUAAGACUGGGAUAACUUCGGGAAACCGGAGCUAAUACCGGAUAAUAUUUUGAACCGCAUGGUUCAAAAGUGAAAGACGGUCUUGCUGUCACUUAUAGAUGGAUCCGCGCUGCAUUAGCUAGUUGGUAAGGUAACGGCUUACCAAGGCAACGAUGCAUAGCCGACCUGAGAGGGUGAUCGGCCACACUGGAACUGAGACACGGUCCAGACUCCUACGGGAGGCAGCAGUAGGGAAUCUUCCGCAAAGGGCGAAAGCCUGACGGAGCAACGCCGCGUGAGUGAUGAGGGUCUUCGGAUCGUAAAACUCUGUUAUUAGGGAAGAACAUACGUGUAAGUAACUGUGCACAUCUUGACGGUACCUAAUCAGAAAGCCACGGCUAACUACGUG